AUGCCGGUAGUUCAAUGGUAGAACGGUGGUCUCCAAAACCACGGAUGCGGGUUCGAUUCCCGCCUGGUAUG
RNAcentral lists this transfer RNA (71 nucleotides) under Bifidobacterium choerinum. Its description in RNAcentral is "tRNA-Trp". It matches the Rfam family "tRNA". From Rfam's summary of the family: Transfer RNA (tRNA) molecules are approximately 80 nucleotides in length. Lineage: Bacteria; Bacillati; Actinomycetota; Actinomycetes; Bifidobacteriales; Bifidobacteriaceae. The record is from RNAcentral.